Molecule: long non-coding RNA, 1432 nt
Organism: Mirounga angustirostris (Northern elephant seal)
Lineage: Eukaryota; Metazoa; Chordata; Mammalia; Carnivora; Phocidae
Exons: 4
Source: RefSeq, a predicted model, not a curated record
GCUGCGCCUUUUCAUUCCCGGAGCGAGGGGGCGUUUCAGUCUCUGCGUUCGUGUUCUUCCCGUGCUUUCUCCACGUUGGCCUUCAGUCGCCGCCGGACGCUACAGCUCUUCGCAGAGUGUCUACUUGUUGAGUCAAAUGUAAUGCAAAACACCUGACUUCGUUAGUGUGACUGUGAAGAAUGAUGACUCUAAUGUCCUGGACUAUACUCAAGAUUUCAGGAGCAAAUGUGAUAGGGUCUUGGUGAUUCCCCUGAUUUCCUUUGAUUUUAGUGACCCUUCUCUGCAUAGGUCCUGCCCCUCUAUCCAGAUGCUGCUGAUAGUAAUACAACAAAAAUCCAUGAACUUCUCUGAUGAAAUCCUCUUCAGACUGCUUGCAGCCCAUUGAUAGACACCUGAAACAUGCAGAGCGUGACCUUCCUCAAGGAACCCGUGGCCGCCUUAGUGCCUUCAAGUUUAAAAGGAACCUUAUCUUGGCAGCAUCUGUCCCUCACGGUCCUGAAAGCCUUGCUUCUAGAUUCCUUGGAGAUUGGCGCUAUCCCUAACCCCCAUUAAUUAAAAAGUAUACAAUCAGUCACUCCUCACAAUCCCAAUAUAGCUCUCUCUGCCCACAGGUCCCGUCCCACGAAUAGGGAAGGCGUGAAGGUCUAGGCAGGAGAGACAGGAGGCCCCUGACUAGGCUCCGGAACUAUUCCUGGCAGGAGACGCUGAGACAGAGAAGAACAAGAGAUAAGGGAACAAACCAAGGUUGCAGAAGAAUCUCAAGGCCACAAGCUUUCCAGUCAGUUCUCAAUAGAAGACUGCCAGUAAAAGCCCAUGGUGACAACCCAUUCAGGACCCCUCUCACUCUGGAGAGUUUUUUUCUUUCCUUUCUGCUCUCACCUUCACUUAAUAAACUUUCACUUGACUUCACCCUUUUGUGUCACAAGAUUCAUUCUUCGACUCCGUGAGACAAGAACCCUGCGAUCCUGCAACAGUACCACUGCUAAUUAAAUUGUGCUUGGUUUAGUUCCUAUAUGCAUAUCUACAAAUAAAUCUGUUUUAAAGAGAUAGACGUUGAUCAUAAUACAUAAGUUUAAUCACAGAAAGAUUCACAGCAUUCACAGUAUAUUGUUGUCUAAAGAAUUCUGAGUUUAGGAUUGUUCCAUUCAACAGAACAUAAAUGUGAAAAUAAACACAAAUACAUAAACAUAAAGUUUUUUAACUGAUCCGUCAGUUUUUCUUCCUGGGGAUACAGAGACCCUAAAUAGCCCUGCCAAUGACAUAACAAACAUACUGGAUAAAAUAUUAAAAAGAUCUGUUAAAAUACAUAACUGAAGAAUUUCCAGAGACUAAAAAAUAAAUAAAAGUAGAGGUCCUAUGAAGGCCUUUGUCCUGAGGGUUUCUGCUAAACCCCAUAAAAGGUAAAGUUCUACUCUGAUGGCUGCAGGAGGUC